GUGCUCACUUCAGCAGCACAUAUAAUAAUACUGGAUUAAAGAGAUUAGUGUGGCCCCUCUGCAAGGAUGACACAUAAAUUUGUGAAGGGUUCUUUUUUUAA
RNAcentral lists this small nuclear RNA (101 nucleotides) under Jaculus jaculus (lesser Egyptian jerboa). Lineage: Eukaryota; Metazoa; Chordata; Mammalia; Rodentia; Dipodidae. The record is from RNAcentral.